RNAcentral lists this ribosomal RNA (480 nucleotides) under uncultured bacterium. RNAcentral describes it as "partial 16S ribosomal RNA". It matches the Rfam family "Bacterial small subunit ribosomal RNA", at positions 28 to 507 of the family's 1533-position model. The record is from RNAcentral.
GAUGAACGCUGGCGGCGUGCUUAACACAUGCAAGUCGAACGGAACUAUCCCAAUGAGAGUCUUAGGAAAGGAUAAGGUUUAGGAUAGUGGCGGACGGGUGAGUAACACGUGGGUAAACUGCUCUAUACAGGGGGAUAACAGUUGGAAAGGAAUGUUAAUACCGAAUAAACGCACAGGAGCGCAUGCACCGGUGUGAAAAACUAAGGUGGUAUAGGAUGGACCCGCGUCUGAUUAGCUGGUUGGCGGGGUAACGGCACACCAAGGCGACGAUCAGUAGCCGGUCUGAGAGGGUGAACAGCCACACUGGGACUGAGACACGGCCCAGACUCCUACGGGAGGCAGCAGUGGGGAAUAUUGCACAAUGGGGGAAACCCUGAUGCAGCGAUGCCGCGUGAACGAAGAAGUUUCUCGGUAUGUAAAGUUCUUUCACCAGGGAAGAUAAUGACGGUACCUGACGAAGAAGCCCCGGCUAACUACGUG